UACGGAGGGGGCUAGCGUUGUUCGGAAUUACUGGGCGUAAAGGGCGCGUAGGCGGCGUGUUAAGUCAGCUGUGAAAUCUCCAAGCUUAACUUGGAACGGUCAGCUGAUACUGAUGUGCUAGAGUGCAGAAGGGGGCAAUCGGAAUUCUUGUGUAGCGGUGAAAUGCGUAGAUAUCAAGAGGAACACCUGAGGUGAAGACGGGUUGCUGGGCUGACACUGAACGCUGAGGCGCGAAAGCUAGGGUAGCAAACGGG
RNAcentral lists this ribosomal RNA (254 nucleotides) under uncultured bacterium. RNAcentral's name for it is "partial 16S ribosomal RNA". It matches the Rfam family "Bacterial small subunit ribosomal RNA", at positions 524 to 776 of the family's 1533-position model. The record is from RNAcentral.